AGUGAGGAAUAUUGGUCAAUGGGCGCGAGCCUGAACCAGCCAUCCCGCGUGCAGGAUGACGGCCCUAUGGGUUGUAAACUGCUUUUCUAUGCCAAGAAACCCACGCUCGUGAGCGUGGUUGCCGGUAGCAUAGGAAUAAGCAUCGGCUAACUCCGUGCCAGCAGCCGCGGUAAUACGGAGGAUGCAAGCGUUAUCCGGAUUCAUUGGGUUUAAAGGGUGCGCAGGUGGGAAUGUAAGUCAGUGGUGAAAUACUGCCGCUUAACGGUAGAACUGCCAUUGAUACUGCGUUUCUUGAGUAUGGUUGAGGUAGGCGGAAUGUGUUGUGUAGCGGUGAAAUGCAUAGAUAUGACACAGAACGCCGAUUGCGAAGGCAGCUUACUAAGCCAUUACUGACGCUGAGGCACGAAAGCGUGGGGAGCGAACAGGAUUAGAUACCCUGGUAGUCCACGCCGUAAACGAUGUUCACUCGCUGUUUGCGAUACACAGUAAGCGGCUUAGCGAAAGCAUUAAGUGAACCACCUGGGGAGUACGAUCGCAAGGUUGAAACUCAAAGGAAUUGACGGGGGCCCGCACAAGCGGAGGAACAUGUGGUUUAAUUCGAUGAUACGCGAGGAACCUUACCUGGGCUUAAAUGUAGAUUGUAUAACUUAGAAAUAGGUUUUCCCUUCGGGGCUAUUUACAAGGUGCUGCAUGGUUGUCGUCAGCUCGUGCCGUGAGGUGUCGGGUUAAGUCCCAUAACGAGCGCAACCCUUAUCGUUAGUUGCCAGCGGGUAGAGCCGGGGACUCUAGCGAGACUGCCACCGUAAGGUGAGAGGAAGGUGGGGAUGACGUCAAAUCAGCACGGCCCUUAUGUCCAGGGCUACACACGUGUUACAAUGGCCGAUACAAAGGGCAGCUACCAGGUGACUGGAUGCUAAUCUCUAAAGUCGGUCUCAGUUCGGAUUGGAGUCUGCAACCCGACUCCAUGAAGUUGGAUUCGCUAGUAAUCGGAUAUCAGCAAUGAUCCGGUGAAUACGU
This 1017-nucleotide ribosomal RNA is filed under the name uncultured bacterium. RNAcentral's name for it is "bacterial SSU rRNA". It matches the Rfam family "Bacterial small subunit ribosomal RNA", at positions 353 to 1371 of the family's 1533-position model. The record is from RNAcentral.